AGUGAACGCUGGCGGUAGGCCUAACACAUGCAAGUCGAACGGCAGCACAGUAAUAGCUUGCUCUUACGGGUGGCGAGUGGCGGACGGGUGCUAAAUACCUCGGAAUCUACUUUUUCGUGGGGGCUAACGUAGGGACUCUUACGCUAAUACCGCAUACGACCUACGGGUGAAAGCAGGGGAUCUUCCGAUCUUGCAUGAUUGAAUGAGCCGAUGUCGGAUUAGCUAGUUGGCGGGGUAAAGGCCCACCAAGGCGACGAUCCGUAGCUGGUCUGAGAGGAUGAUCAGCCACACUGGAACUGAGACACGGUCCAGACUCCUACGGGAGGCAGCAGUGGGGAAUAUUGGACAAUGGGCGCAAGCCUGAUCCAGCCAUACCGCGUGGGUGAAGAAGGCCUUCGGGUUGUAAAGCCCUUUUGUUGGGAAAGAAAAGCAGCAGGUUAAUACCCCGCUGUUCUGACGGUACCCAAAGAAUAAGCACCGGCUAACUUCGUG
Molecule: ribosomal RNA, 492 nt
Filed under: uncultured bacterium
Lineage: Bacteria
Description: partial 16S ribosomal RNA
Rfam family: Bacterial small subunit ribosomal RNA
Source: RNAcentral